Molecule: RNA transcript, 2532 nt
Organism: Malania oleifera
Lineage: Eukaryota; Viridiplantae; Streptophyta; Magnoliopsida; Santalales; Ximeniaceae
Exons: 4
Source: RefSeq, a predicted model, not a curated record
GUUCCAUCGACCCGUUUAUGACCGGCCUGUUUAUGAUCCGGCCCGUUGGUGACCGGCCCGUUUUGCCACCCCUAGUCCGCAGGUGGCGAGUGGGGGAAAUGAACGUUGGCAGCGAUGAAGGCCACCAAGGUAACGUCAAUGAGGGCGACACCCUACCAUGACCAAGAGAAAAAUGUGGGCCGGUCUCCGGUUGUUCGAGGCCGAAGCCGUCGUUGGCAUCAGAGCGGCACGGGCAGUGCAUUGGUUGCGGUAGUGGCGCUCCUCUUCUCCACCGCCGCUUGGCUUUCACUUGUAUUCUCUGGCACCACCACCCGUUGUUGGCACCGUUUAAAGGAUUGGGAAGGCAGCCCCCAAUCCUUUCCCUGGAGAAGCCUCCACUCUGAUCAUCUUACCCGAUCCGAUUCUUCUGCCUCUCAGUCUCACUACAAUAAUCGAAGUGGGGCCGGUGGUGGUGGUGACGGCACGCAAUUGGAGGAGGAGUUGUCAUUGAAGCACAUCGUUUUCGGCAUAGCUGGAUCCUCGCAGUUUUGGAAACGGCGGAAGGAGUUCGUAAGGCUGUGGUGGCGUCCGGACAUCAUGCGCGGUCACGUCUGGUUAGAAGAGCAAGUGGCUCGCGAGGACGGGGACGAUACGUUGCCGCCCAUCAUGGUCUCUGAGGACAUCUCCCGCUUCCGUUACACAAAUCCCACCGGUCACCCCUCUGGUCUACGCAUCUCCCGCAUUAUCACCGAGUGUUUCCGCCUGGGAUUACCUGAUGUCCGCUGGUUCGUCCUGGGCGAUGACGACACCCUUUUUAAUGCGGAUAAUCUUGUUGCUGUUCUCAGUAAGUACGAUCCGUCCGAGAUGGUUUACAUCGGUGGCCCAUCCGAGAGUCAUUCUGCUAAUACAUACUUUAGUCACUCUAUGGCCUUCGGCGGUGGGGGAAUCGCUAUAAGCAAUUCCUUAGCCAAGGCCUUGUCGAAGAUUCAAGACGAUUGUCUUGAGCGGUAUCCGAAAUUGUAUGGAAGCGAUGAUCGACUCCAUGCUUGUAUCAUGGAACUUGGCAUUCCUUUAACCAGAGAACAUGGCUUUCACCAGUGGGAUAUUAGGGGGAACGCACACGGUCUGUUAUCUUCUCACCCAAUCGCACCAUUUGUUUCAAUUCACCAUGUUGAAGCUGUUGAUCCCUUCUAUCCUGGAUUGAGCUCUCUGGAGAGUUUGAAACUAUUUUCGAGAGCCAUGAGAGUUGACUCCAGGAGCAUUUUGCAGCGAUCCAUUUGUUAUGAUCAUGCCCGGCGUUUAACCUUUUCAGUUUCACUUGGUUAUGUUGUUCAAGUUUUCCCUAACAUUGUGCUCCCUCGUGAGCUGGAACGCUCAGAACAGACCUACUCUGCUUGGAACAGAAUUAAUCACAGAAAUGAAUUUGAUUUAGACACCAGGGAUCCUUACAGAUCUGUUUGUAAAAAACCAAUCCUCUUUUUCUUGAACAAUAUGGGAAGAGAGGGGAACAAUACAUUGGGUUCAUAUGGACGGGCAAGAGGAAAAGAUGAUUUGAAGAGGAAAGUCUUCUGCUUUCCUCAUUCGCCGCCGUUGCACCAUGUGGAAAAUAUUCUUGUGCUUGGGCACCCAUUAAGCAAGAACUGGCAUUUGGAAAAAAAUAUUUUGACUAGGUGCCACGAAGGUUAUGCUGCAAGCUUAAUGGUACCCUCAAUGAACUCCUCAGAUUAACAGUUGGACAGUGUGAGAAGGAGGUUUUCAGUUCUGUUGCUGAUUCUCUGUGAAAUGUUAACUUAUGGUGACUUGCCCUUCCUUCUGAAUGCGAAGCUCAGUCUAAAAGAUGGGCCUCUGUCAACUCUCAAAUGAUGAUCUGCAUUUUGACAACUCUUUCUUACAUAUUGUGGAUAUGCAAGGGUCUCACUUUACACAGUUGAGUCAAAGAUGAGCAAGAGCUUAGGGGUUAUAUUCUUUGCAUUACUUUCUGUUCAAAAGAUUUUUAGUAUGCUUUAGGAGGCGCCAAAUUGUUUGCUGGUCUGUGAGUGGAUGGUUCCGUAAAGAUGGAUGCUAGCAGAUGCAUUAUUUUGCAAUUCUAUUUGAAGGGGGCGAGAUCUGCAAAGGGACCAAGCUGUGGCAUUGGUAGGUGUAAAAAUACCUCGAUGGAUUUUGGAACUUCUGUGGCACCUUAUUCUUAGAGGUUUCUAGUUUGUUGAUUUUAGUUGGCUUUGAUUCCCUUGCCUUGGAGAUUUGUGUGUGAUCACUUUUUAGGCAAGUUUGUGUGAUUACACAUUCUCUUUUCUUCUCUUCUUUUCUCCCACCCAAAAAAGAGUACUUCAAGAUGCAACUUGGUAUAAUAUUAAUUCGGGCAACUUGGGUAUGACUGUAUAAUACAUACUUCUGACUGAUUUGUGGAGACAACUAGUUUAGUAGUUUUCCCACUAGUUUUUUAAAGAUGAUUCUGUAACUGACUCACAACCACUAGUUUUCACACUAGUUUUUCUUUUGGUGGUGACAUAUUGAGAGCGCAAUUUUAGUGAGUUCUGCAAAUGGUCUUUUUAA